Molecule: transfer RNA, 72 nt
Filed under: Elusimicrobia bacterium RIFOXYA12_FULL_51_18
Lineage: Bacteria; Pseudomonadati; Elusimicrobiota
Also listed under: 1 other name
Description: tRNA-Asn
Rfam family: tRNA
About the family: Transfer RNA (tRNA) molecules are approximately 80 nucleotides in length. Their secondary structure includes four short double-helical elements and three loops (D, anti-codon, and T loops). Further hydrogen bonds mediate the characteristic L-shaped molecular structure. tRNAs have two regions of fundamental functional importance: the anti-codon, which is responsible for specific mRNA codon recognition, and the 3' end, to which the tRNAs corresponding amino acid is attached (by aminoacyl-tRNA synthetases). tRNAs cope with the degeneracy of the genetic code in two manners: having more than one tRNA (with a specific anti-codon) for a particular amino acid; and 'wobble' base-pairing, i.e. permitting non-standard base-pairing at the 3rd anti-codon position.
Source: RNAcentral
UCCCCAGUAGCUCAAUGGUGGAGCGAUCGACUGUUAAUCGAUAGGUUGUAGGUUCGAGUCCUACCUGGGGAG